This 253-nucleotide ribosomal RNA is filed under the name uncultured bacterium. RNAcentral's name for it is "partial 16S ribosomal RNA". It matches the Rfam family "Bacterial small subunit ribosomal RNA", at positions 524 to 776 of the family's 1533-position model. The record is from RNAcentral.
UACAGAGGGUGCAAGCGUUAAUCGGAAUUACUGGGCGUAAAGCGCGUGUAGGCGGCCCACUAAGUCUGAUGUGAAAGCCCGGGGCUCACCCCCGGAAGUGCAUUGGAAACUGGUGGACUCGAGUCCCGGAGAGGAGAGUGGAAUUCCUGGUGUAGCGGUGAAAUGCGUAGAUAUCAGGAGGAACACCGGUGGCGAAGGCGGCUCUCUGGACGGUGACUGACGCUGAGACGCGAAAGCGUGGGGAGCAAACAGG